AAAAACAAAUUUUCUGUCUUGCCCAGAGCUUUCGGUCCGGAUGUGGACCUUCUUCACCGAAAGCUCUGGGCAAGACAGAAAAUUUGUUUU
RNAcentral lists this microRNA precursor (90 nucleotides) under Phlebotomus papatasi. RNAcentral's name for it is "microRNA mir-233". The record is from RNAcentral. Lineage: Eukaryota; Metazoa; Arthropoda; Insecta; Diptera; Psychodidae.